GGGUUGUGAGGUUAAGCGACUAAGCGUACACGGUGGAUGCCCUGGCAGUCAGAGGCGAUGAAGGACGUGCUAAUCUGCGAUAAGCGUCGGUAAGGUGAUAUGAACCGUUAUAACCGGCGAUUUCCGAAUGGGGAAACCCAGUGUGUUUCGACACACUAUCAUUAACUGAAUCCAUAGGUUAAUGAGGCGAACCGGGGGAACUGAAACAUCUAAGUACCCCGAGGAAAAGAAAUCAACCGAGAUUCCCCCAGUAGCGGCGAGCGAACGGGGAGCAGCCCAGAGCCUGAAUCAGUAUGUGUGUUAGUGGAAGCGUCUGGAAAGGCGCGCGAUACAGGGUGACAGCCCCGUACACAAAAAUGCACAUAUUGUGAGCUCGAUGAGUAGGGCGGGACACGUGGUAUCCUGUCUGAAUAUGGGGGGACCAUCCUCCAAGGCUAAAUACUCCUGACUGACCGAUAGUGAACCAGUACCGUGAGGGAAAGGCGAAAAGAACCCCGGCGAGGGGAGUGAAAAAGAACCUGAAACCGUGUACGUACAAGCAGUGGGAGCACGCUUCGGCGUGUGACUGCGUACCUUUUGUAUAAUGGGUCAGCGACUUAUAUUCUGUAGCAAGGUUAACCGAAUAGGGGAGCCGAAGGGAAACCGAGUCUUAACUGGGCGUUAAGUUGCAGGGUAUAGACCCGAAACCCGGUGAUCUAGCCAUGGGCAGGUUGAAGGUUGGGUAACACUAACUGGAGGACCGAACCGACUAAUGUUGAAAAAUUAGCGGAUGACUUGUGGCUGGGGGUGAAAGGCCAAUCAAACCGGGAGAUAGCUGGUUCUCCCCGAAAGCUAUUUAGGUAGCGCCUCGUGAAUUCAUCUCCGGGGGUAGAGCACUGUUUCGGCAAGGGGGUCAUCCCGACUUACCAACCCGAUGCAAACUGCGAAUACCGGAGAAUGUUAUCACGGGAGACACACGGCGGGUGCUAACGUCCGUCGUGAAGAGGGAAACAACCCAGACCGCCAGCUAAGGUCCCAAAGUCAUGGUUAAGUGGGAAACGAUGUGGGAAGGCCCAGACAGCCAGGAUGUUGGCUUAGAAGCAGCCAUCAUUUAAAGAAAGCGUAAUAGCUCACUGGUCGAGUCGGCCUGCGCGGAAGAUGUAACGGGGCUAAACCAUGCACCGAAGCUGCGGCAGCGACGCUUAUGCGUUGUUGGGUAGGGGAGCGUUCUGUAAGCCUGUGAAGGUGUGCUGUGAGGCAUGCUGGAGGUAUCAGAAGUGCGAAUGCUGACAUAAGUAACGAUAAAGCGGGUGAAAAGCCCGCUCGCCGGAAGACCAAGGGUUCCUGUCCAACGUUAAUCGGGGCAGGGUGAGUCGACCCCUAAGGCGAGGCCGAAAGGCGUAGUCGAUGGGAAACAGGUUAAUAUUCCUGUACUUGGUGUUACUGCGAAGGGGGGACGGAGAAGGCUAUGUUGGCCGGGCGACGGUUGUCCCGGUUUAAGCGUGUAGGCUGGUUUUCCAGGCAAAUCCGGAAAAUCAAGGCUGAGGCGUGAUGACGAGGCACUACGGUGCUGAAGCAACAAAUGCCCUGCUUCCAGGAAAAGCCUCUAAGCAUCAGGUAACAUCAAAUCGUACCCCAAACCGACACAGGUGGUCAGGUAGAGAAUACCAAGGCGCUUGAGAGAACUCGGGUGAAGGAACUAGGCAAAAUGGUGCCGUAACUUCGGGAGAAGGCACGCUGAUAUGUAGGUGAAGCGACUUGCUCGUGGAGCUGAAAUCAGUCGAAGAUACCAGCUGGCUGCAACUGUUUAUUAAAAACACAGCACUGUGCAAACACGAAAGUGGACGUAUACGGUGUGACGCCUGCCCGGUGCCGGAAGGUUAAUUGAUGGGGUCAGCGCAAGCGAAGCUCUUGAUCGAAGCCCCGGUAAACGGCGGCCGUAACUAUAACGGUCCUAAGGUAGCGAAAUUCCUUGUCGGGUAAGUUCCGACCUGCACGAAUGGCGUAAUGAUGGCCAGGCUGUCUCCACCCGAGACUCAGUGAAAUUGAACUCGCUGUGAAGAUGCAGUGUACCCGCGGCAAGACGGAAAGACCCCGUGAACCUUUACUAUAGCUUGACACUGAACAUUGAGCCUUGAUGUGUAGGAUAGGUGGGAGGCUUUGAAGUGUGGACGCCAGUCUGCAUGGAGCCGACCUUGAAAUACCACCCUUUAAUGUUUGAUGUUCUAACGUUGACCCGUAAUCCGGGUUGCGGACAGUGUCUGGUGGGUAGUUUGACUGGGGCGGUCUCCUCCUAAAGAGUAACGGAGGAGCACGAAGGUUGGCUAAUCCUGGUCGGACAUCAGGAGGUUAGUGCAAUGGCAUAAGCCAGCUUGACUGCGAGCGUGACGGCGCGAGCAGGUGCGAAAGCAGGUCAUAGUGAUCCGGUGGUUCUGAAUGGAAGGGCCAUCGCUCAACGGAUAAAAGGUACUCCGGGGAUAACAGGCUGAUACCGCCCAAGAGUUCAUAUCGACGGCGGUGUUUGGCACCUCGAUGUCGGCUCAUCACAUCCUGGGGCUGAAGUAGGUCCCAAGGGUAUGGCUGUUCGCCAUUUAAAGUGGUACGCGAGCUGGGUUUAGAACGUCGUGAGACAGUUCGGUCCCUAUCUGCCGUGGGCGCUGGAGAACUGAGGGGGGCUGCUCCUAGUACGAGAGGACCGGAGUGGACGCAUCACUGGUGUUCGGGUUGUCAUGCCAAUGGCACUGCCCGGUAGCUAAAUGCGGAAGAGAUAAGUGCUGAAAGCAUCUAAGCACGAAACUUGCCCCGAGAUGAGUUCUCCCUGACUCCUUGAGAGUCCUGAAGGAACGUUGAAGACGACGACGUUGAUAGGCCGGGUGUGUAAGCGCAGCGAUGCGUUGAGCUAACCGGUACUAAUGAACCGUGAGGCUUAACCUUACAACGCCGAAG
Molecule: ribosomal RNA, 2925 nt
Filed under: Escherichia coli
Lineage: Bacteria; Pseudomonadati; Pseudomonadota; Gammaproteobacteria; Enterobacterales; Enterobacteriaceae
Description: bacterial LSU rRNA
Rfam family: Bacterial large subunit ribosomal RNA
Source: RNAcentral